ACACGUCUGUGACGUGUAGCACUGGGCUCUGAUCAUCCUUGAGGACACAGUGCCCCUCAGGACCUUUGACACCUAGAGGUGUGAGGGGCUC
This is a small nucleolar RNA of Jaculus jaculus (lesser Egyptian jerboa), 91 nucleotides long. Lineage: Eukaryota; Metazoa; Chordata; Mammalia; Rodentia; Dipodidae. The record is from Ensembl.